This 289-nucleotide unclassified non-coding RNA is filed under the name plant metagenome. RNAcentral's name for it is "partial contains small subunit ribosomal RNA, internal transcribed spacer 1, and 5.8S ribosomal RNA". The stretch from base 1 to 54 matches the Rfam family "Eukaryotic small subunit ribosomal RNA", at positions 1778 to 1831 of the family's 1831-position model. The record is from RNAcentral.
GGAAGCAAAAGUCGUAACAAGGUUUCCGUAGGUGAACCUGCGGAAGGAUCAUUAUCGUACAAAAUGUGAGGGGCAUGCGAGGGCUGUCGCUGACCCAAAAGUCGUGCACGCCCGGGUGUGUCCUCUUGCAUAAUAAUCCAUCUCACCCUUUGUGCAUCACCGCGUGGGCACCCUUCGGGAUCAUCUCGGAGAGGGGCUCGCGUUUUCACACAAACCCCCCUUUUAAAAGUGUAGGAUGACCACAUUUAUGCAAUCAAUACAACUUUCAACAACGGAUCUCUUGGCUCUC